ACACAUGCAAGUCGAACGGAGCUUAGAGGGCUUGCUUUUUAAGCUUAGUGGCGAACGGGUGAGCAACGCGUGAGUAACCUGCCCUGGAGUGGGGGACAACAGUUGGAAACGACUGCUAAUACCGCAUAAGCCCACGGUACCGCAUGGUACUGAGGGAAAAGGAUUUAUUCGCUUUAGGAUGGACUCGCGUCCAAUUAGCUAGUUGGUGAGGUAACGGCCCACCAAGGCGACGAUUGGUAGCCGGACUGAGAGGUUGAACGGCCACAUUGGGACUGAGACACGGCCCAGACUCCUACGGGAGGCAGCAGUGGGGGAUAUUGCACAAUGGGGGAAACCCUGAUGCAGCGACGCCGCGUGGAGGAAGAAGGUUUUCGGAUUGUAAACUCCUGUCGUUAGGGACGAUAAUGACGGUACCUAACAAGAAAGCACCGGCUAACUACGUGCCAGCAGCCGCGGUAAAACGUAGGGUGCAAGCGUUGUCCGGAAUUACUGGGUGUAAAGGGAGCGCAGGCGGGAAGACAAGUUGGAAGUGAAAACCAUGGGCUCAACCCAUGAAUUGCUUUCAAAACUGUUUUUCUUGAGUAGUGCAGAGGUAGAUGGAAUUCCCGGUGUAGCGGUGGAAUGCGUAGAUAUCGGGAGGAACACCAGUGGCGAAGGCGGUCUACUGGGCACCAACUGACGCUGAGGCUCGAAAGCAUGGGUAGCAAACAGGAUUAGAUACCCUGGUAGUCCAUGCCGUAAACGAUGAUUACUAGGUGUUGGGGGAUUGACCCCCUCAGUGCCGCAGUUAACACAAUAAGUAAUCCACCUGGGGAGUAC
Molecule: ribosomal RNA, 819 nt
Filed under: uncultured bacterium
Lineage: Bacteria
Description: bacterial SSU rRNA
Rfam family: Bacterial small subunit ribosomal RNA
Source: RNAcentral